UCUUAAACUUCAUAUGUAUCUUCUUUUACUUCUUUUUUUGAUAUUUUUUAAACAAAUUAAUUUUCACGAUAAUCAUAUUAUCAUGAAGACCAUAAGCAUCAUACCACGGAAAAUGUAGUAUUUAAAAACAUCAUAGUACUUGAAAUACUAUAAUGAAGACAAUAAUGAUUAUCACGAAAUCAUCCCAAUAUUUUAAGUACUAUAAUGACUACCGCUAUUUUAGAACACUUAAAACGUCGGGUAGAGAGGAAUUGAAGUGGCUAUUUCCCAAUAAAAAAAAGAUAAAAAUAAAAAAAAAGAUGGGUUUUAAAAUUUGAUUAGGAGCACGUGGAAGGAGCUGG
This 341-nucleotide long non-coding RNA is filed under the name Amborella trichopoda. Its description in RNAcentral is "long non-coding RNA (ATRI_LNC003398)". Lineage: Eukaryota; Viridiplantae; Streptophyta; Magnoliopsida; Amborellales; Amborellaceae. The record is from RNAcentral.